This 298-nucleotide small RNA is filed under the name Vigna angularis var. angularis. RNAcentral's name for it is "Non-protein coding transcript". The record is from RNAcentral. Lineage: Eukaryota; Viridiplantae; Streptophyta; Magnoliopsida; Fabales; Fabaceae.
AUAUCCUCGGCGGCGGUGACUCUUGAUCAGACGUAAUUUGCGUAGUGUCUGCACCAACCACAUGUCACAAGCCUCAUGAACUUCGGAUUCUCGUACGCUUGAGUUUGUCCAUUAAGUAUUUGUUCAAUGGCCAAGCUCAUACCAACGUCCUUAGCAAGAUUAGUGCUUGCAUCGGUUGCAGCAUCUUCUAUAGGAUUGAUGGCUUUACCACCACCAGAAUGUUCUGCAACCACCACGCUUAUGAACAAUAAUGCAGUGAUUAGUAUGACUCUCAUUCUCUCCAUGAUUAGGUUUUCGU